Long non-coding RNA from Cryptomeria japonica (Japanese cedar), 251 nucleotides. RefSeq lists it as uncharacterized. The record is from RefSeq and is a predicted model, not a curated record. The transcript has 3 exons. Lineage: Eukaryota; Viridiplantae; Streptophyta; Pinopsida; Cupressales; Cupressaceae.
CCUGAUCCUGAGUUGAGAGACAAGGUUCUUGAUGAGUUGGAGAUCUACAAAAGUGCAGAGGGGAGACUCUUCUCAUCACAACUAGCAAUUGAUAGGAGAGGAAAACAACAACCAGAUUUAUGGUGGGAGAAUUAUGGUGCUGGCACGCCUAAUCUUCAAAAGAUAGCCGUCCGUGUUUUGUCUCAGCCAUGCAGUGCUUCUGGGUGUGAACGAAAUUGGACUGUAUUUGAGAGCAUUCACACAAAGAAGAG